This is a long non-coding RNA of Photinus pyralis (common eastern firefly), 1199 nucleotides long. RefSeq lists it as uncharacterized. NCBI's taxonomy places the organism in Eukaryota, Metazoa, Arthropoda, Insecta, Coleoptera, Lampyridae. The record is from RefSeq and is a predicted model, not a curated record. The transcript has 2 exons.
UGCUUACGUUGCUUGAAUACUGAAAAUUUCAAUUUAGUUACAAGGUCUACAGAAAUCCUUUGGCAGUGUUCUCGAGUGUGUAUCUACGAAUCUUGCCAAGAGCCUUUAAUUUUUAAAACAAAAACUGUUGCGCUUAGCAUUACAGAUAUAAUGAGCUUGUUGAAUCUACGGUGAAUAUUGCAUUGGCUGCAAUGUAUUAUUUAGAACAUUUUUAAUAAGUAAUGGGUUAUGGCACAUACUAAACUAUUGACGAAAGUGUAUAUAGAAUACGUGACGACAUUUCUAAUACUGGAGAGGAACACAUUUUCAGGAAAAUAAAUAGUGGCUCGCACAGAACGCGAAUGUGGGUAUCGAUGUAAUCGGUAAACUAUCCAAACUAUUUCAAUGCUUGAUUCAAAUACUGGAUAACGUAAAUGUGGCAAUCAAGAGAUAAAUCUUUUACCAUACGGCUUUUAAGCAAUUUUCCAGACAGAUGUGGGGAAAGUUCCUGUUCCGGAUAUCUAGAAAUUAAAUGCAAAUAUCGGAUGUUCUAUGCUCAAGAAUCUUUCUGCAUAUCAAUCAGCCAGAGAACAAACUAUGUACAUACAUUAUACAAUACAUGUGGGCAGCAUGUUCAUAUUUGCCAAUAACUAUCAAUUUUUUAUGAAAUGCAAUUUGAAAUCUCAUUCCGUAUAGUACGUCUUUGGUCAUGCAGUUAAGGGGGAUCUCACACGGUUCAUUUAUGAGCGUUUGCAGAGGUUUCAUAGAAAAAUUCCCCAGACUUUGGUAAAUUAUACAUUGAUCUCACUUUUCAUACGUAGAAUUUUGCGUUAUGGAAAUAAAAAUUCGUUAUAUAGAAACAUAGAAUUAUCCUAGGAAUUAUCCUGCGUCUUUCCAACAAAAAAAUGGAAAAGAUGUGUACGGAAAUACGGUCGUGACAAUUUUUCCACGAAACGUGUACAGUGUAUGGAUUGUAUGAAUUUUACUUGCUGUAGUGUAGCGCCGCGCAACACGAGUUCUAAAACAGUUUGGUCAUUUUCUGGGAAAGGAAUAUUUCGUUUGUCAAUUCUGAAUCAGGGAGUACUUGCAAGGAUUAACAAUUUUCGUUUAAAAUAUCUUCAUUUAAUGAUUUAAGUGUAAAUUGAGAACACUUCACUCCAGACAAAGAUAGUCUGGAUAGUGCCCAUAAAUUUGAUUUGAAUAAAAAAUAAAAAUAAUUA